This is a long non-coding RNA of Coregonus clupeaformis (lake whitefish), 507 nucleotides long. RefSeq lists it as uncharacterized. Lineage: Eukaryota; Metazoa; Chordata; Actinopteri; Salmoniformes; Salmonidae. The transcript is spliced from 6 exons. The record is from RefSeq and is a predicted model, not a curated record.
GUCGUUAUUAUUUUGUUGAAUAGCUUUUGCUAAAGAUAUGUUCCAUACUAGUAGCCUUUAUUCUGUAUCCACGUUUGGCACGAACAGUCAGGAUGAUCCCGCCCGAGGGUGAGUCCGCGGGAAGAGGAACAGGAAACCCUGUCCUUCAUCAGAGAGAACAUGGAGAAGAGUGAUCAGCUGAUUUAAAGGAAUGGCGUCCAUUUUGUCAUCGUUUGAGAGUCGUCUGAUGUAGCUGGAGAACUCCAUCAUCCCAGUACACAAGCAGACAGAGAACCUACAGAGGCUUCAGGAGAACGUGGAUAAGACCCUGUCCUGCCUGGACCAUGUCAUCAGUUACUACCAUAUAGCCAAGGACACCGACAGGAUCAUCAGAGAGGGAAUGACCCUGACAAGGAGCACAACAUGCCCAAGGAUGGAACGGUCCAUGAGCUCACCAGCAACCAGCUGCUGGACAUCCUGGAGACUGUUGGAGCCAUGCUGACCUCUCAAGAACAUCCUCAAUCCCCC